RNAcentral lists this ribosomal RNA (487 nucleotides) under uncultured bacterium. RNAcentral describes it as "bacterial SSU rRNA". It matches the Rfam family "Bacterial small subunit ribosomal RNA", at positions 282 to 762 of the family's 1533-position model. The record is from RNAcentral.
GGUAGCUGGUCUUAGAGGACGACCAGCCACACUGGAACUGAGACACGGUCCAGACACCUACGGGUGGCAGCAGUCGAGAAUCUUUCACAAUGGGGGCAACCCUGAUGGAGCGACGCCGCGUGGAGGAUAAGGUCUUCGGAUUGUAAACUCCUGUCAUGUGUGAACAAGGUUGUCUUGUUAAUAGCGAGGCAAAUUGAUGGUAACACAAGAGGAAGAGACGGCUAACUCUGUGCCAGCAGCCGCGGUAAUACAGAGGUCUCAAGCGUUGUUCGGAAUCACUGGGCGUAAAGGGUGCGUAGGUGGCGUGGAAAGUCAGAUGUGAAAGCCCGGGGCUCAACCUCGGAAUAGCAUCCGAUACUACCAUGCUAGAGUACUGAAGAGGUGACUAGAAUUCUCGGUGUAGCAGUGAAAUGCGUAGAUAUCGAGAGGAAUACCAACGGCGAAGGCAGGUCACUGGGCAGUUACUGACACUGAGGCACGAAGGCCA